Molecule: ribosomal RNA, 371 nt
Filed under: uncultured organism
Description: bacterial SSU rRNA
Rfam family: Bacterial small subunit ribosomal RNA
Source: RNAcentral
CGAACCGUGCGAACGUUGUUCGGAAUCACUGGGCUUAAAGGGCGCGUAGGCGGGCUGUCAAGUCUGGGGUGAAAUGCUGCGGCUCAACCGUAGCACUGCCUUAGAUACUGACGGCCUCGAGGAAGUAGGGGGCAUGCGGAACUGUGGGUGGAGCGGUGAAAUGCGUUGAUAUCCUCAGGAACUCCGGUGGCGAAAGCGGCGUGCUGGACCUUUUCUGACGCUGAGGCGCGAAAGCUAGGGGAGCAAACGGGAUUAGAUACCCCGGUAGUCCUAGCCCUAAACGAUGGGUACUAGAUAGUGGACUAGAUAUGGGUUUACUGUCGAAGCUAAAGUGCUAAGUACCCCGCCUGGGGAGUAUGGUCGCAAGGCUG